This 478-nucleotide long non-coding RNA is filed under the name Arachis ipaensis. RNAcentral describes it as "long non-coding RNA (AIPA_LNC002555)". The record is from RNAcentral. Lineage: Eukaryota; Viridiplantae; Streptophyta; Magnoliopsida; Fabales; Fabaceae.
CCUGUUGUGAAUUGGAUCAGGUCCAUUAGGAACUCUUCUCUUGCUUACAAAGAUCAUUUCAGAUUUUGAAUGCCUCUUCAUCAUACUAACCAACUUUAACUGCUUUGACAUCGCAUUCACUCUCAAUGGAACUACCAUAACCGUCUUCUUCGCUUGUCGAUGAAGACGGUUAGCCGAUAUUGCUGUUAGCAUCAACCAUGUAACUAAUAUGAAUCCCAAAAUUCCAAGAAUCAACCUUCCCCUGCCUACACCACCACUACCCAUAUUUAUUUUUUCUCAAUUUUCUUUUUCUUUUCUCUUCUCUUAUGACUCUUUACUAAGUGGCAAUAUCUUGCAACUAAAGAAGCUUAAGAACAACAACAAUAAUAUCAUCUUGGCAUUGAUGAUCACUAGCUACAACAAUGAUAAUUAAAGAAAGAAAAGAAACAGAGAAUUAUAUAGGAAAGGAGUAAGGACAAAAUAAUGAAUUGGUUCCUAA